This 21-nucleotide unclassified non-coding RNA is filed under the name Chlamydomonas reinhardtii. RNAcentral describes it as "small RNA Cre_1809". The record is from RNAcentral. Lineage: Eukaryota; Viridiplantae; Chlorophyta; Chlorophyceae; Chlamydomonadales; Chlamydomonadaceae.
GCUUGCUGGGCGGUAUUGUGC